AGAGUUUGAUCCUGGCUCAGGAUGAACGCUAGCGGCAGGCUUAACACAUGCAAGUCGAGGGGUAACAGGAAUAGCUUGCUAUUCGCUGACGACCGGCGCACGGGUGCGUAACGCGUAUAGAAUCUACCUUUUACUAAGGGAUAGCCUUUAGAAAUGAAGAUUAAUACCUUAUAGUAUUAUAGACUGGCAUCAGUUUAUACUUAAAGAUUUAUUGGUAAAAGAUGACUAUGCGUUCUAUUAGCUAGAUGGUAAGGUAACGGCUUACCAUGGCGACGAUAGAUAGGGGUCCUGAGAGGGAGAUCCCCCACACUGGUACUGAGACACGGACCAGACUCCUACGGGAGGCAGCAGUGAGGAAUAUUGGGCAAUGGAGGCAACUCUGACCCAGCCAUGCCGCGUGCAGGAAGACGGCCCUAUGGGUUGUAAACUGCUUUUAUACAGGAAGAAACUUAUCCACGUGUGGAUAACUGACGGUACUGUAAGAAUAAGGACCGGCUAACUCCGUGCCAGCAGCCGCGGUAAUACGGAGGGUCCAAGCGUUAUCCGGAAUCAUUGGGUUUAAAGGGUCCGUAGGCGGAUUGAUAAGUCAGAGGUGAAAUCCCACAGCUCAACCGUAAAAUUGCCUUUGAUACUGGUUGUCUUGAGUUAUUGUGAAGUAGUUAGAAUAUGUAGUGUAGCGGUGAAAUGCAUAGAUAUUACAUAGAAUACCAAUUGCGAAGGCAGAUUACUAACAAUAUACUGACACUGAUGGACGAAAGCGUAGGUAGCGAACGGGAUUAGAUACCCCGGUAGUCUACGCCGUAAACGAUGGAUACUAGCUGUUCGGACUUCGGUCUGAGUGGCUAAGCGAAAGUGAUAAGUAUCCCACCUGGGGAGUACGUUCGCAAGAAUGAAACUCAAAGGAAUUGACGGGGGCCCGCACAAGCGGUGGAGCAUGUGGUUUAAUUCGAUGAUACGCGAGGAACCUUACCAGGGCUUAAAUGUAGAUUGACAGGUUUAGAGAUAGACUUUUCUUCGGACAAUUUACAAGGUGCUGCAUGGUUGUCGUCAGCUCGUGCCGUGAGGUGUCAGGUUAAGUCCUAUAACGAGCGCAACCCCUGUUGUUAGUUGCCAGCGAGUCAUGUCGGGAACUCUAACAAGACUGCCAGUGCAAACUGUGAGGAAGGUGGGGAUGACGUCAAAUCAUCACGGCCCUUACGUCCUGGGCUACACACGUGCUACAAUGGUAGGGACAGAGAGCAGCCACUGCGCGAGCAGGAGCGAAUCUAUAAACCCUAUCUCAGUUCGGAUCGGAGUCUGCAACUCGACUCCGUGAAGCUGGAAUCGCUAGUAAUCGGAUAUCAGCCAUGAUCCGGUGAAUACGUUCCCGGGCCUUGUACACACCGCCCGUCAAGCCAUGGAAGCUGAGGGUACCUGAAGUCGGUCACCGCAAGGAGCCGCCUAGGGUAAAAUUGGUAACUAGGGCUAAGUCGGAACAAGGUAGCCC
RNAcentral lists this ribosomal RNA (1486 nucleotides) under uncultured prokaryote. Its description in RNAcentral is "partial 16S ribosomal RNA". It matches the Rfam family "Bacterial small subunit ribosomal RNA". The record is from RNAcentral.